RNAcentral lists this ribosomal RNA (497 nucleotides) under uncultured bacterium. RNAcentral describes it as "partial 16S ribosomal RNA". It matches the Rfam family "Bacterial small subunit ribosomal RNA", at positions 28 to 507 of the family's 1533-position model. The record is from RNAcentral.
GACGAACGCUGGCGGCGUGCCUAAUACAUGCCAGUAGAACGCUGAAGAGAGGAGCUUGCUCUUCUUGGAUGAGUUGCGAACGGGUGAGUAACGCGUAGGUAACCUGCCUUGUAGCGGGGGAUAACUAUUGGAAACGAUAGCUAAUACCGCAUAACAAUGGAUGACACAUGUCAUUUAUUUGAAAGGGGCAAUUGCUCCACUACAAGAUGGACCUGCGUUGUAUUAGCUAGUAGGUGAGGUAAUGGCUCACCUAGGCGACGAUACAUAGCCGACCUGAGAGGGUGAUCGGCCACACUGGGACUGAGACACGGCCCAGACUCCUACGGGAGGCAGCAGUAGGGAAUCUUCGGCAAUGGGGGCAACCCUGACCGAGCAACGCCGCGUGAGUGAAGAAGGUUUUCGGAUCGUAAAGUUCUGUUGUAAGUCAAGAACGGGUGUGAGAGUGGAAAGUUCACACUGUGACGGUAGCUUACCAGAAAGGGACGGCUAACUACGUG